Molecule: non-coding RNA, 20 nt
Filed under: Mus musculus (house mouse)
Lineage: Eukaryota; Metazoa; Chordata; Mammalia; Rodentia; Muridae
Source: RNAcentral
UACAGUUAGGUGCUUAAAUA